CCUACGGGAGGCAGCAGUGAGGAAUAUUGGUCAAUGGGCGCAAGCCUGAACCAGCCAAGUCGCGUGAGGGAUGACGGUCCUAUGGAUUGUAAACCUCUUUUGUCGGGGAGCAAGGCCCGCCACGUGUGGCGGGAAGGAGAGUACCCGAAGAAAAAGCAUCGGCUAACUCCGUGCCAGCAGCCGCGGUAAUACGGAGGAUGCGAGCGUUAUCCGGAUUUAUUGGGUUUAAAGGGUGCGUAGGCGGAAGGUUAAGUCAGCGGUAAAAUGUCGGUGCGCAACACCGGCCUGCCGUUGAAACUGGUCUUCUUGAGUGAGCGAGAAGUAUGCGGAAUGCGGGGUGUAGCGGUGAAAUGCAUAGAUAUCACGAAGAACUCCGAUUGCGAAGGCAGCAUACCGGCGCUCAACUGACGCUGAGGCACGAAAGCGUGGGGAUCGAACAGGAUUAGAUACCCGGGUAGUC
Molecule: ribosomal RNA, 460 nt
Filed under: uncultured bacterium
Lineage: Bacteria
Description: partial 16S ribosomal RNA
Rfam family: Bacterial small subunit ribosomal RNA
Source: RNAcentral